AGAGUUUGAUCCUGGCUCAGGACGAACGCUGGCGGCGUGCCUAAUACAUGCAAGUAGAACGCUGAAGAGAGGAGCUUGCUCUUCUUGGAUGAGUUGCGAACGGGUGAGUAACGCGUAGGUAACCUGCCUUGUAGCGGGGGAUAACUAUUGGAAACGAUAGCUAAUACCGCAUAACAAUGGAUGACCCAUGUCAUUUAUUUGAAAGGGGCAAAUGCUCCACUACAAGAUGGACCUGCGUUGUAUUAGCUAGUAGGUGAGGUAACGGCUCACCUAGGCGACGAUACAUAGCCGACCUGAGAGGGUGAUCGGCCACACUGGGACUGAGACACGGCCCAGACUCCUACGGGAGGCAGCAGUAGGGAAUCUUCGGCAAUGGGGGCAACCCUGACCGAGCAACGCCGCGUGAGUGAAGAAGGUUUUCGGAUCGUAAAGCUCUGUUGUAAGUCAAGAACGAGUGUGAGAGUGGAAAGUUCACACUGUGACGGUAGCUUACCAGAAAGGGACGGCUAACUACGUGCCAGCAGCCGCGGUAAUACGUAGGUCCCGAGCGUUGUCCGGAUUUAUUGGGCGUAAAGCGAGCGCAGGCGGUUUGAUAAGUCUGAAGUUAAAGGCUGUGGCUCAACCAUAGUUCGCUUUGGAAACUGUCAAACUUGAGUGCAGAAGGGGAGAGUGGAAUUCCAUGUGUAGCGGUGAAAUGCGUAGAUAUAUGGAGGAACACCGGUGGCGAAAGCGGCUCUCUGGUCUGUAACUGACGCUGAGGCUCGAAAGCGUGGGGAGCGAACAGGAUUAGAUACCCUGGUAGUCCACGCCGUAAACGAUGAGUGCUAGGUGUUGGAUCCUUUCCGGGAUUCAGUGCCGCAGCUAACGCAUUAAGCACUCCGCCUGGGGAGUACGACCGCAAGGUUGAAACCCAAAGGAAUUGACGGGGGCCCGCACAAGCGGUGGAGCAUGUGGUUUAAUUCGAAGCAACGCGAAGAACCUUACCAGGUCUUGACAUCCCGAUGCUAUUUCUAGAGAUAGAAAGUUACUUCGGUACAUCGGUGACAGGUGGUGCAUGGUUGUCGUCAGCUCGUGUCGUGAGAUGUUGGGUUAAGUCCCGCAACGAGCGCAACCCCUAUUGUUAGUUGCCAUCAUUCAGUUGGGCACUCUAGCGAGACUGCCGGUAAUAAACCGGAGGAAGGUGGGGAUGACGUCAAAUCAUCAUGCCCCUUAUGACCUGGGCUACACACGUGCUACAAUGGUUGGUACAACGAGUUGCGAGUCGGUGACGGCAAGCUAAUCUCUUAAAGCCAAUCUCAGUUCGGAUUGUAGGCUGCAACUCGCCUACAUGAAGUCGGAAUCGCUAGUAAUCGCGGAUCAGCACGCCGCGGUGAAUACGUUCCCGGGCCUUGUACACACCGCCCGUCACACCACGAGAGUUUGUAACACCCGAAGUCGGUGAGGUAACCUUUUGGAGCCAGCCGCCUAAGGUGGGAUAGAUGAUUGGGGUGAAGUCGUAACAAGGUA
Molecule: ribosomal RNA, 1506 nt
Filed under: metagenome
Description: bacterial SSU rRNA
Rfam family: Bacterial small subunit ribosomal RNA
Source: RNAcentral